AUAUCGCGAUGAGUUGAUCAUGGCUACAGGAUGAACGCUGGCGGCGUGCUUAACACAUGCAAGUCGAACGGACUUUUAAUGAAGCCUAGCGAAUUAAAGUUAGUGGCGGACGGGUGAGUAACGCGUGGGUAACCUGCCUUAUACGAGGGGGAUAACACUUAGAAAUAGGUGCUAAUACCGCAUAAGCGCACAGUUUCGCAUGAAACAGUGUGAAAAACUCCGGUGGUAUAAGAUGGACCCGCGUCUGAUUAGCUAGUUGGUGAGGUAACGGCCCACCAAGGCGACGAUCAGUAGCCGGCCUGAGAGGGUGACCGGCCACAUUGGGACUGAGACACGGCCCAAACUCCUACGGGAGGCAGCAGUGGGGAAUAUUGCACAAUGGGGGGAAACCCUGAUGCAGCAACGCCGCGUGAGUGAAGAAGUAUUCGGUAUGUAAAGCUCUAUCAGCAGGGAAGAAAAAAGACGGCACCUGACUAAGAAGCACCGGCUAAAUACGUG
RNAcentral lists this ribosomal RNA (498 nucleotides) under uncultured bacterium. RNAcentral's name for it is "bacterial SSU rRNA". It matches the Rfam family "Bacterial small subunit ribosomal RNA", at positions 1 to 507 of the family's 1533-position model. The record is from RNAcentral.